Molecule: long non-coding RNA, 1203 nt
Filed under: Ovis aries (sheep)
Lineage: Eukaryota; Metazoa; Chordata; Mammalia; Artiodactyla; Bovidae
Description: lncRNA (ENSOARG00000026381.1)
Source: RNAcentral
GGGACGUAACACAGAAAACACUCUCAAAAUGAUUGGCAGACAGGGUACACGGGAAGGGGCCGAGGGGCGACAGCACCCAGCCUGACACAUUCAUCUGCGGAGCCUACACUUAUCACUCUGAUCCGCAGAGAGGGUAGGGCACUGCCCAAUCUGCCCUUUCCUCACCCGGCAGCCCCCACGCCCAGGCAGGGCCACAGGGUUUCUGCCUCUACCAGGAACCCACUGACUCCUGAUGUCUGAGCACCUGCAUUCUCCCGGGACCCCUCGGGAUGUUGUCCACCCUUCUGUGCUGGGGCAUGAGGGUUGGUGGGGCAGUAGCACCCUGGCCCAUUUCCAGGCCCGCCCUGCCCCCACUGAGUGGGAGAGGACGCAGGAAUCAGGCUUUGUCAACAACCUGUGGCCGGUGAUCUGAUCUCACCCUGGGGCCAUGACCUUCUGCCACUUGCUCUGGUUUCACAAACACCCACCAAGCCCAUUCUCAUCAGAAGCUGGCAGGCCCCAUUCAGAAGCUGGGGUGACCAGUGCCCACCUCGUGGAGCCCAGCCAUUCUGUGGGGGGGGGGGGGGGGGGGCAGGCCUUGGCCAUCAAUCAUGCCUGUCCUGGUCCUGGGAUUUUCGGCCCACUGGGAGCAAGGCCCCCUCCCCCUCCCAGGAGCUGAGCCCACAGGAGAGGCGGUGGCCAGCGGCAGGCUGCACCCAGAUCUCCCGGAGGCCGGGGGAGGGGCACUGGCGCGCCUUAGGACUUCUUGGCGUCCUGCGUGUUCCGGCGCUUCAGGUCGCUCAGGUCGAUGGGCUUGAAGGCUGCCGAGGGACAGAAUGGUCAGUGGUAGGUGCAGGUGGAGAGGCAGGGUCUGUCCCUUGUCCUGCCCUUGCCUCUGAAAGCCCUGGGAUCCAGGCCACUGUACCAGGCUGUCUUGGAAGCAGCCGGUGGGUGGGGACCUUCUCCACGUACUCCUCCACCAGGCCCCGCUCGCUGCCCGACAUCUGGCUGCGCAGGUCCCGCUCCACACCCUGCCAGGCUGCAGGAAGCAGGGGUGGUCAGGGCCCCUACCCCUGGGCCUGCCAUCCGGCCCCGUCAGUGUCCAAGGGGAUGGCACCCGCUCCUGCCCUGUCCCUCCCCUCCGAGUGGCCCCGCAGGUCCCCCGAGCCCAAACUCCCACUUCAACAGUUUCUGGCCCCCAAGUCCAGCCUGCUCCUAACCUGA